This 470-nucleotide ribosomal RNA is filed under the name uncultured Desulfocapsa sp. Its description in RNAcentral is "bacterial SSU rRNA". It matches the Rfam family "Bacterial small subunit ribosomal RNA", at positions 916 to 1381 of the family's 1533-position model. The record is from RNAcentral. Lineage: Bacteria; Pseudomonadati; Thermodesulfobacteriota; Desulfobulbia; Desulfobulbales; Desulfocapsaceae.
GACGGGGCCCGCACAAGCGGUGGAGCAUGUGGUUUAAUUCGAUGCAACGCGAAGAACCUUACCUGGACUUGACAUCCCAGGAAUUCCCUGGAAACAGGGAAGUGCCCUUCGGGGAGCCUGGUGACAGGUGCUGCACGGCUGUCGUCAGCUCGUGUCGUGAGAUGUUGGGUUAAGUCCCGCAACGAGCGCAACCCCUGUCUUUAAUUGCCAUCAUUAAGUUGGGCACUUUAAAGAGACUGCCGGUGUUAAACCGGAGGAAGGUGGGGAUGACGUCAAGUCCUCAUGGCCUUUAUGACCAGGGCUACACACGUACUACAAUGGCCGGUACAAAGGGCAGCGACACAGCGAUGUGAAGCGAAUCCCGAAAAGCCGGUCUCAGUCCGGAUUGGAGUCUGCAACUCGACUCCAUGAAGUUGGAAUCGCUAGUAAUCGCGGAUCAGCACGCCGCGGUGAAUACGUUCCCGGGCCUU